Molecule: ribosomal RNA, 774 nt
Filed under: uncultured Neocallimastigales
Lineage: Eukaryota; Fungi; Neocallimastigomycota; Neocallimastigomycetes; Neocallimastigales
Description: partial large subunit ribosomal RNA
Rfam family: Eukaryotic large subunit ribosomal RNA
Source: RNAcentral
UAUGUGAUCGUCUCUCGCAUAUCAAUAAGCGGAGGAAAAGAAACUAACAAGGAUUCCCCUAGUAACGGCGAGUGAAGCGGGAAGAGCUCAAAUUUGAAAUCUUAAAGGGUUUCCCUUUACGAAUUGUAGUUUAAAGAAGUGUUUUCUGUUGAGGUUUUGGUAAAAGUUCUUUGGAAUAGGACAUCAUAGAGGGUGAGAAUCCCGUAUUUGACCUUUACUUUCAACUUUGUGAUACACUUUCAGAGAGUCGGAUUGUUUGGGAAUGCAGUCCAAAAUGGGUGGUAAAUUUCAUCUAAAGCUAAAUAUUGGCGAGAGACCGAUAGCGAACAAGUACCGUGAGGGAAAGAUGAAAAGAACUUUGAAAAGAGAGUUAAACAGUACGUGAAAUUGUCAAAAGGGAAGCGUUUGACACCAGUGUUGUUUUUCUGAAAAUCAAUUAAAGAACUGUUUAUGCUAAGCUGUUUAGACUUUAUCAGCUAUCUGUUUAGUUUUGAGCUUUUCUUUAAUGCACUUUUCAGUUAACAAGUCAACAUCAAUUUCUUUUGCUGUAAAAAAGCUUGAGGAAGGUGGCUUGAGAUUCGUCUUAAGUGUUUAUAGCCUCUUGCCUAUGCAGUCGGAGAGAUUGAGGUCUGCAGCGUAGAUCCUUCGGGGCUAAAUGCAUUUGUGCUAAGUUAUAGCAUUUUAUAGACAACUUGUUGACUAUGAUUUGUCUUGUAGCUUACUCGCUUAUGUUAUUUUACCUACGCUUAGGAUGUUGAGUCGUAGAGCACGCAG